UCCAGACCAUAUCCAUAUUUCCUUUCCAUUCCAGGCUUCCGUUUUCUCGUGUCCAGCCGUUAGUGGUUAGUCCCGUUCCCGUAGUCCAACUCUGCGACUCAGUGUCGUUUUGAUUACUUCACCUCGGUCUCUCUCUGUUAGAAAUUUAGUUAUUAGGAUUAGUAACUUAGCGUGGUGUUUAAUUAAUUGAAAUGAUUGUAAUAAUCCGUUCAGCGUCCACUUAAAGCUCUUUGUUUCUCGAUUGUCGAAUCGCAAUACCCUGUGUUAUCCAACGCUCCCCUUUCACACCUUGACACCUAACACGUGCUUCAAUUGAAGCAGUUAAGUGGAAGUGUAUGCUAAAGCAUUCCAGAUAACAUCAGUCGAAGAGAAAAGUGGUAUAGAUGAAUUUGCUGCAAUGGAUUUAAAUCUCUACAUGCUGAAGUGGACUUGUUUGACAGUAUUGCAUUUGUCUAUGCUUACUAGGGAUUCCCAAUGAAGAACAAGAACCUGAUGGGAUUAAAUGAAGCAUUUUGUAUCAGUCCCAUCCCGAUUUCAUGAAGCUUCAACUUUUGCCCUUAAUAGCAGGAAUCUGGUUUCUGGAUCUGUCGUUCACAUGUAACAGGUAUAAUCAAAUCAAUCUUUUUGAUCGGGGGCCAAUAGGGACAACCUUUUUGAAGAGCUGCCUAUAAUUCGAAAAGUGAGUAUGAUUUUGUAAACUAGAUGUCGCUAUCGUCUGGCAGUUUCAAACUUAGCGACUAGGUGGCGUGGCGUGUCAUACGAUUUGUUGUCAUGAAACGUUUGGUUGUUCUAAUUCUAUUUAUUGGGGAUUCAAUUAACUGGCGCAACUUAUUAAAUUUUUACGCUACUUAUUUACAGUGAACAUGAACAGUUAAAGGAAAAGUACCAUCAACCCUUUUUGUUUUCUAAAAGAUUCACUCAAAAGAUGCAGGAAAGCACCACACCACAUUAAUUUUGAAAUAUUAAUGUCUUCUUUUUUUAAUUUAUUAAAACAGGUGGAUCUGAUCAUCUCUCAUGGUUAACAGCUGCCUGAUCAAGCCUUUCUAAUAAUCUUACAGUCAUUAUACAGGCUAAGAAGACCAGUAUUAUUAUUCUGUUUUCGUUGAAAUGUAAGAAUUGUGUCUGUAGAGUCAUAAUUUAAUAAUUUAUGUUCUGUUAACAGAUGAAUUUUUAGUAGAGGAAGUAAGCAAUCGAUAGUCAUCCUCAUCACAUCAUUUGUGAUGUGUCUUGUCUUCUGGAUGGACUAGGAAAUCUGAGUGGUGUUAUCAUUUGAAAUGAUGACCUGCGGUUAUGUUCUAUGCGGUUCCUCUUGGUCUUAUGAUCAACUAAUUAAAAUGUACAACGGAUCGAGGUUAGGAAGAGAUUAGUCAGAACCGUAAUCCUUCAAAAGGGGCGGCGGUUUGGCUGUACAAAUGUUAUCUGUUGAUGCAAUGAAAGAAUAAGUAAGUAGCUCUAAUUCAUGGGUCAUUUUGCAGUCAGGUCAUCUUGCAGUCAGGUUAUAAAUUAUAUUCAAACGUAUAAUUCAAAUUUAUGGGUGAUUCACAACUUAUUGACAAUACCUUACAUUGUUGGGUUGGAUAAUGUUCUAUCUAUUAUUUUAACUUGGGGGAGGGCAGAAAAGCUCCCGCGUUGUUCUGAACGUCUCACACUCACUCAAAUUAUGCUGUUAACAAUGGUCUCUAGCUAUUACUUUAGUGCUGAAAUUGGUAGUGACAUAUUUGUGUAUAUAGUUUCAACACGAUUAUCUGUUUGUAGCUGCAGUUCGUUGAUCACUUAACAUGUUUUUCUACAGCCAUUAAAUCUAGCCUAAGCAGACCAGCAUUAUUUAUAUUCCAGAGAGUGAUCACAAUGUGCAGUAGUUCUGCAGCCUGUUUCCAGUUCAGGCUGUUGCAUGCCGUCGGUGGAUCUGGUGUUAUCCUGGAUUGUGUUGAUCUGGUUGCGGCCAAAUGGUGAAUAUGUCAUCAAAUCAAGUUCAGUUGUUGCACGGAGUUUGUGGUACCGGUGUUAUCCUGGAGUAUGUUUUGACAAACUUUGUUUUGCAUGUUUGUGAAUGGAGUUUUCUCCUCGUCAUUUAACUUUUUUUUUUACUGUCGUCUGUUUUGUGUGUAAUAAAAGAUAAUUUGUGUUUUGACGAGGAUAGGAGGGGACGAGGGGUUCUUGUCGAACGGAAAAUUGAAGGUUUAAGAUUUUAGGAAAAUUGCCCACCUGAUUUGUGCAAGUGGACAGUAAAACACGAAGUUUAUUACACUUGUGAUUCAAUUCCAGCUAAAACCGCCUUGUUCAAAUUGUAAUUAUCACUUUAACAGCAUGUUGCUGUCGUGUGAUACAUUCAGGAAGAAUUCUUA
Molecule: long non-coding RNA, 2345 nt
Filed under: Daphnia pulex (common water flea)
Lineage: Eukaryota; Metazoa; Arthropoda; Branchiopoda; Diplostraca; Daphniidae
Description: uncharacterized LOC124202457, transcript variant X3
Source: RNAcentral